RNAcentral lists this long non-coding RNA (1089 nucleotides) under Mus musculus (house mouse). Its description in RNAcentral is "long non-coding RNA chr2:78845493-78846582". The record is from RNAcentral. Lineage: Eukaryota; Metazoa; Chordata; Mammalia; Rodentia; Muridae.
GAUGAUGUUCUGAACAUGACUGCAGACGGUUCUGACAGUGGCCAGUUCCUUUCUGUUACUCCACCAUUUGUCAACUGGGAGCCUUUUCUUUUUCUUUCCAACAAGACUCAGCUCCAAUUGGAUGUGAUUGAAGUCCCUCGGCAGAGUUCCCCCGGGGCCCUUCACGGUGACUGUGCUGAGUCUUUUCGGAGAUAUCAUCAGUAGAAGGCAAAGUUUUGUAAGUUCUUUGUGGGAUGGAGCAGAAGGAAUGGAGAGAAAAUACAGUGUAAAGUAUGAAUUAAACACCGACAUCCUACUUGCUGCCAGAACUGUACCACAGAGCUUGAGUUUGUAACCCAAGUUUUCAGAACUGUUUGUCCAACAGUGCUGAAGCUCCCUGAACGGAAACAGGAAUUCGGGGCUUGAGUUAAGUGCCUGGAGGAGCAACGUGGGCUUGGUUUCUGUUUCCGGGAGCAGACGUCGGGACGCCGCUGGGCUUGCUAUUGGCCAACUCGGUGAACACAGGAGGAGUUCCAGGUCUCACCUUCCUUUGACUCCUUUCCUAGCUGACCUACAAAUGCUUUCCUUUAAUUGUAUCCUUAAGCCACACAUUGCUCUACAUUCUAGGGUUAGUGUGUGAAAGGAUUCCUGUCCUGUUUUUACUAACUCUUUAGAGAUGGAGAAAAAUGUAUGAGUCCACAAAGACUGGGUUAUCAAUUCAGCUAAACUGGGCUGCAAAUCGUGACAAAAAAGGAUGAAGGGAAAAACCAGAGUGUAAUGUAUGAGAUUUUAAAGGGAUUUGUUUGUAAUACUGGAAGAAAAGGGUUUUGUCUUAGACUUUUUAAUAGGUCUCGUAUGUCCCCUUGAAAAGGUAGCUGCAUCACAAUCAUAUAAAGGAAAAGGUGUCUGGAGAAGCUGGCAUUACGGUUAAGGAUUCGGAGUUCAUCAGCAGAUAACUGUUAGCUCCAACCAUGUGCCUCCAUUAUUGCACAAAGAGAAAAUGUGUAAAGUCACCAAAUUGUUAAUUAUGCCAGAGUGCUUUUGAGGCAGAUUCUCAAGGCAUCUAUACUGAUUAAUUCUAUUUCAAAUAAAUGUUGCAUUUCAACAUCG